CCCUUAGAUGUUCUGGGCCGCACGCGCGCUACACUGAUGCGUUCAACGAGUAUAAAACCUUGAUCGAUAGGUCUGGGUAAUCUUGUGAAUGCGCAUCGUGCUAGGGAUAGACUGUUGCAAUUUUCAGUCUUGAACGAGGAAUUCCUAGUAAACGCAAGUCAUCAGCUUGCAUUGAUUACGUCCCUGCCCUUUGUACACACCGCCCGUCGCACCUACCGAUUGAAUGACUCGGUGAAAAAUUGGAACCGUGAGUCUGUUUGCUUAAUUGCGAGUGGAUUGAUGGGAACUUUUUUAAACCUCGCCAUUUAGAGGAAGGUGAAGUCGUAACAAGGUUUCCGUAGGUGAACCUGCGGAAGGAUCAUUA
RNAcentral lists this ribosomal RNA (364 nucleotides) under Pseudoperonospora cubensis. Its description in RNAcentral is "SSU rRNA". It matches the Rfam family "Eukaryotic small subunit ribosomal RNA", at positions 1470 to 1831 of the family's 1831-position model. The record is from RNAcentral. Lineage: Eukaryota; Oomycota; Peronosporomycetes; Peronosporales; Peronosporaceae.